This 440-nucleotide ribosomal RNA is filed under the name uncultured bacterium. RNAcentral's name for it is "partial 16S ribosomal RNA". It matches the Rfam family "Bacterial small subunit ribosomal RNA", at positions 338 to 795 of the family's 1533-position model. The record is from RNAcentral.
CCUACGGGUGGCAGCAGUGGGGAAUAUUGCACAAUGGGGGGAAGCCUGAUGCAGCAACGCCGCGUGGGUGAAGAAGUACUCAUGAAUGUAAAGCUCUGUCAGUAGGGGAGAAAAUGACGUUACGUGACCAGGACUCACCGGCUAACUACGUGCCAGCAGCCGCGGUAAGACGUAGGGGGCCGGCGUUAUCCGGAUUUAGUGGGUGUAAAGGGCACGUAUUCGGCAAGACAAGUCUGGAGUGAAUGGCCGGGGCUCACUGCCGGGCCUGCGUUGGAAACUGUGUUGCUGGAGUGCAGAUGGGGCAAGCGGAAUGCGUAGUGUAGCGGUGAAAUGCGUAGAUAUUAGGCGGAACACCGAUGGCGAAGGCAGCUUACUAAUCUGUAACUGACGUUGAGGCACGAAGGCGUGGGGAGCAAACAGGAUUAGAUACCCCGGUAGUC